AUACGAAGGGGGCUAGCGUUGUUCGGAAUUACUGGGCGUAAAGCGCGCGUAGGCGGACUGAUCCGUUGGGGGUGAAAUCCCAGGGCUUAACCCUGGAACUGCCUCCAAUACUGUCAGUCUUGAGUUCGGGAGAGGUGAGUGGAAUUCCUAGUGUAGAGGUGAAAUUCGUAGAUAUUAGGAAGAACACCAGUGGCGAAGGCGGCUCACUGGCCCGAUACUGACGCUGAGGCGCGAAAGCGGGGGGAGCAAACAGGAUUAGAAACCCUAGUAGUCC
Molecule: ribosomal RNA, 274 nt
Filed under: uncultured bacterium
Lineage: Bacteria
Description: partial 16S ribosomal RNA
Rfam family: Bacterial small subunit ribosomal RNA
Source: RNAcentral